GCAGCCACAAUGGAAAACAGUAUGCAGAUUUCUCAAAAAAAAAAUAGAAAUACCAUAUGAUCCAGCUAUCUCACUACUGGGUAUUUAUCCAAAGAACUGAAAAUCAAUGAUCCAAAGAGAUUUAUGCAUCCCUGUGUUCAUUGCAGCAUUAUUCACAAUAGCCAAGAGGUGAAAACAACCCAAGUGCCCGUCGAUAGAUGAAUGGAUAAAAAAGAUGUGGUGGGGGCCAGCCUGGUAGUGCAGUGGUUAAGUUCGCACAUUCCAUUUUGGUGGCCUGUGGUUCGCCGGUUUGGAUCUCCGGUGCAGAAAUGGCACCACUUGGCAAGCCAUACUGUGGUAGGUGUCCCACAUAUAAAGUAGAGGAAGAUAGGCAUGGAUGUUAGCUCAGGGCCAGUCUUCCUCAGCAAAAAGAGGAGGAUUGGCAGCAGUUAGCUCAGGGCUAAUCUUCCUCUAAAUAAAAAAAGAAGAUGUGGUGUAUAUAUACAGAAUGGAAUACUACUCAGCCAUAAAAAAGACAAAAUUGUCCCAUUUGCAACAACAUGGAUGGACCUUGAGGGCAUGAUGUUAAGUGAAAUAAACCAGAAAGAGAAAGACAAAUACUGCAUGAUUUCACACAUUGUGGAAGAUAACAAAUACAUGGAUAAAUACAAUAGAUCAGUGGUUACCAGAGGGGAUGGGGGGUGGGCGAAAGGGAUAAAAGGGCACAUAUGUAUGGUAAUGGAUAAAAAUUAGACUACUGGGGGUGAGCAUGAUGAAGGAAUUGAUAAACAUUAGUGUACACCCGAAAUUACACAAUGUUAUAAACCAUUAUAAUCCCAGAUACAAUAAUUUUUAAAAAAGAAAUGGAAUUGCUGGAUCAUAUGGAGCUCUAUUUUUAAUUUUUCAGCGAAUCACUCUACUGUUUUCCAUGGCAGCUUCACCAUUUUUACAUUCCCAAGAACAGUGCACAAGGAUUCCAAUUUCUCCACAUCCUUGCCAACAUUUGUUAUUUUGAGGGGUUUCUUUUGGAUCCUAGCCAUUCUAAUGAGUGUGAGGUGGUAUCUCAUUGUGGUUUUAAUUUGUAUUUCUCUAACAAUUAGUAAUGUUGAACAUCUUUUCAUGUGCUUAUUUGCCAUUUGUAUAUCUUCUUUGGAAAAAUGUUCAAGUCCUUUGCUCACUUUUCCAUUGAAUUAUUUUUGUUUUUGUUGAGCUGUAAGAGUUCCUUACGUAUUCUGGAUAUUAACACCUUAUCACAUAUAUUGCUUGUAAAUAUUUUCUCCUAUUCCAUGGGUUGCCUUUUCACUCUGUUAAUUGUGUUCUUUGAUGCACACAAGCUUUCAAUUUUAAUGUAGUAAAAUUUAUCCACUUUUUCUUUUGUGUCUGUGCUUCUGGUAUCACAUCUGGAUUUUUAAAACAUAAAAAUAUAUCAUAAGUUCAUACUGAUAGCUUCUAAUUCAAAUUCUGGGCUACAAGGUUCUUUAUCAAACUGACCUUUUUAUCUCCUUUUUCUCACGCCCAUAAUCGCAGCUGGUCGGUCCAUGCAUAGAAAUACCAUCUUAAUCAACAAUUGGGCCUGGAGAAGUUGAAUUCUAGGUAAAGACUUGCCCUGCGAGCUAUCUAAACUGAGCAACUAGUUUUGGGGCUCCUUUUCAUUCAUUCUGACUUAACAUACUCAUGAGGGACUCCAUCCAGCAGGUGUUCAGAAAAGCUUAAAAGGGCAAUUUUUCAUCUCUCAAGAGGGUUGGAAAGUACACUAUUUAGAACUGGAGCUCUUCCAGACUGUCUGAAAUGUCUUAGGCAGCCACAAGAGAGUCGUAGGUUACAAUUUUUAGGGACUGGUUACAGUGGGGGUGGGGAUUUUCUUCUUUCUGUCAGUUUUUAAGUGUCUCUGCAGCAGUAAAAAUUACAUCUAUGCGCACUUUUAUUUAUUGGCUCCAGGUUUUGUGCUGCUUUGCCCAGCAUGUGUUUUCAAUAGUGACAUUUGUCACCUUUUCUCAGGAUUCUGUGUGAACUCUUGGAAAAUCUUUCCCAAGGCGAGCAAAGCCAUUUCUUUUACAUCUUUGGGAAAAGUCCAGUUGUGUGACUUUCUGUGGUUUUCUUGAGUGGCCAUUUCUAUUUGUGCACCAUCAGCAGUUUCAGAAUGCAGGAGUACCUGUGGCAGCUUUGUAGCCACAAAUCAAAUCUACUUGCUGCAUGGAAGAGCUAAGAGAGCCCGCAACCAAAUCUCCCUAUCUCCAUCAGAGACAGAGGAAGUCUUACGUAUGAUCCACAUGAUCUCAGGCGUGUGUAUGAUCAUGCAACCUGAAGGCUGGGUUGUUUUCUACUUCUGGGGGUGAGCAUUGAGAGUAUGAGCGGUGGCCUACAGCAGAAAUGAUCUUCAUCCGGCCUCUGCCACCUCCAUCUCCACAUAGAUCUUGAACCUUGCUUUGCAGGGAAGGUUGAGUCAAUGCUCAUGGGCUCUAUCAAGGUUUUCCCUAACACCUCCAACCCUAUUCUCAUCUCCGCCCACUCUAACUUCAUCACUCUUUCUUACUGAAAGGGGUAGUCUUUAUGCAGCUCAGAGUCAAACUUCACUCUUAGGAUCUGGAUCCUGCCCUCUUCCACCUCCUCACAAUCUUGCUUCAUCGGUCAUCACCUCUCGCCUAUAUUUUCAAAUGGCUGCAGUCUUAAAAAAUCAAAAUAAAAGAGCAAACAGCCCAACUUUGCACUGAAUACCCUGCAUUUCUUUCCAUCUACGGUCAAGUUCCAAGAGUCAUGUAUUUGCAGUAUCUCACCUGCUG
Molecule: long non-coding RNA, 2759 nt
Filed under: Equus caballus (horse)
Lineage: Eukaryota; Metazoa; Chordata; Mammalia; Perissodactyla; Equidae
Description: lncRNA (ENSECAG00000055285.1)
Source: RNAcentral